CCGUCGCUCCUACCGAUUGAAUGGUCCGGUGAAGUUUUCGGAUCGCGGCGACGCCGGCGKUUCGCCGCCGGUGACGUUGUGAGAAGUUCAUUAAACCUUAUCAUUUAGAGGAAGGAGAAGUCGUAACAAGGUUUCCGUAGGUGAACCUGCGGAAGGAUCAUUG
RNAcentral lists this ribosomal RNA (163 nucleotides) under Bryhnia hultenii. Its description in RNAcentral is "partial 18S ribosomal RNA". It matches the Rfam family "Eukaryotic small subunit ribosomal RNA". The record is from RNAcentral. Lineage: Eukaryota; Viridiplantae; Streptophyta; Bryopsida; Hypnales; Brachytheciaceae.